RNAcentral lists this ribosomal RNA (253 nucleotides) under uncultured bacterium. RNAcentral's name for it is "partial 16S ribosomal RNA". It matches the Rfam family "Bacterial small subunit ribosomal RNA", at positions 524 to 776 of the family's 1533-position model. The record is from RNAcentral.
UACGUAGGUGACAAGCGUUAUCCGGAAUUACUGGGCGUAAAGGGCGUGCAGGCGGUCUGUUAAGUCUGGCGUGAAAGCUCUCGGCUAAACCGGGAGAGGUCGUUGGAUACUGACGGACUAGAGGACGGUAGAGGCGUGUGGAAUUCCGGGUGUAGUGGUGAAAUGCGUAGAGAUCCGGAGGAACACCAGUGGCGAAGGCGACACGCUGGGCCGUACCUGACGCUAAGACGCGACAGCAUGGGGAGCGAACGGG